Molecule: long non-coding RNA, 262 nt
Filed under: Capsicum annuum
Lineage: Eukaryota; Viridiplantae; Streptophyta; Magnoliopsida; Solanales; Solanaceae
Description: long non-coding RNA (CANN_LNC008279)
Source: RNAcentral
GGGCAAGAAGUUAUGGCCAAUUUAAGUUUUAGUCAAAAAAACACCGUCAUUUUAGUGUUUGGUGCAUUGUGGAGAGGGUCUAUUUAAAAAUUGUCAAAUUCUAGCGAAAGUCCACGAUAGCGACACAUCACGAAGGACCCCAAUUUCUCAAUAGUCAAUUUCCAGUGGCGUAGAACGAUUGUGAUGCGUCGCGCUGAAGUUUGAGGUCCCAACCAGUGGGAUAACGCGAUGGCUCCACAUCGUUGUGACUCUUAGAUUCCCA